RNAcentral lists this ribosomal RNA (406 nucleotides) under uncultured bacterium. RNAcentral's name for it is "partial 16S ribosomal RNA". It matches the Rfam family "Bacterial small subunit ribosomal RNA", at positions 30 to 526 of the family's 1533-position model. The record is from RNAcentral.
AUUGAACGCUGGCGGCAGGCCUAACACAUGCAAGUCGAACGAGUGGCGGACGGGUGAGUAAUGUAUGGGCAACUGCCUGAUGGAGGGGGAUAACUACUGGAAAAGGUAGCUAAUACCGCAUAACAUCAGAUGUGCCCAGAUGGGAUUAGCUAGUUGGUGGGGUAACGGCUCACCAAGGCGACGCUCCCUAGCUGGGCUGAGAGGAUGACCAGCCACCCUGGAACUGAGACACGGUCCAGUCUCCUACGGGAGGCAGCAGUGGGGAAGAGUGCACAAUGGGCGCAAGCCUGAUGCAGCCAUGCCGCGUGUAUGAAGAAGGCCUUCGGGUUGUAAAGUACUGUCAGCGGGGAGGCGUUACCCGCAGAAGAAGCACCGGCUAACUCCGUGCCAGCAGCCGCGGUAAUUC